Molecule: ribosomal RNA, 477 nt
Filed under: uncultured organism
Description: partial 16S ribosomal RNA
Rfam family: Bacterial small subunit ribosomal RNA
Source: RNAcentral
GUACACUCCUGCGGGAGGCAGCAGUGGGGAAUUUUGGACAAUGGGCGAAAGCCUGAUCCAGCAAUGCCGCGUGUGUGAAGAAGGCCUUCGGGUUGUAAAGCACUUUUGUCCGGAAAGAAAUCCUUGGCUCUAAUACAGUCGGGGGAUGACGGUACCGGAAGAAUAAGCACCGGCUAACUACGUGCCAGCAGCCGCGGUAAUACGUAGGGUGCGAGCGUUAAUCGGAAUUACUGGGCGUAAAGCGUGCGCAGGCGGUUUGCUAAGACCGAUGUGAAAUCCCCGGGCUCAACCUGGGAACUGCAUUGGUGACUGGCAGGCUAGAGUAUGGCAGAGGGGGGUAGAAUUCCACGUGUAGCAGUGAAAUGCGUAGAGAUGUGGAGGAAUACCGAUGGCGAAGGCAGCCCCCUGGGCCAAUACUGACGCUCAUGCACGAAAGCGUGGGGAGCAAACAGGAUUAGAAACCCCGGUAGUCCCAUG